RNAcentral lists this ribosomal RNA (434 nucleotides) under uncultured Lachnospiraceae bacterium. RNAcentral describes it as "bacterial SSU rRNA". It matches the Rfam family "Bacterial small subunit ribosomal RNA", at positions 341 to 792 of the family's 1533-position model. The record is from RNAcentral. Lineage: Bacteria; Bacillati; Bacillota; Clostridia; Lachnospirales; Lachnospiraceae.
ACGGAAGGCAGCAGUGGGGAAUAUUGCACAAUGGGGGAAACCCUGAUGCAGCAACGCCGCGUGAGUGAAGAAGUAUUUCGGUAUGUAAAGCUCUAUCAGCAGGGAAGAUAAUGACGGUACCUGACUAAGAAGCACCGGCUAAAUACGUGCCAGCAGCCGCGGUAAUACGUAUGGUGCAAGCGUUAUCCGGAUUUACUGGGUGUAAAGGGUGCGUAGGUGGCAUGGUAAGUCAGAUGUGAAAUACCGGGGCUCAACCCCGGGGCUGCAUUUGAAACUGCCAGGCUGGAGUACAGGAGAGGCAAGCGGAAUUCCUAGUGUAGCGGUGAAAUGCGUAGAUAUUAGGAGGAACACCAGUGGCGAAGGCGGCUUGCUGGACUGUUACUGACACUGAGGCACGAAAGCGUGGGGAGCAAACAGGAUUAGAUACCCUGGUA